UGGUGUUGAGGCUUCCUAGUGAGCCAGACAAAGAUGUCGUCAUCAAUAAGCUGUUUGAUUUCUUGACUGAGUUUCCUAGGGAGACUAAGUUUUCUGAGGUCCUGUUCUACAUGGUCACAUUCCUUCAGCAGGGAAAUCUUUCCUGUUCUUCAUACAAAACACUGUUUAACAGACUGGACCUGGCCAUGGUUACAGUUCCUCUUGAUAUGGGUCCAGCCAUCACCCAGAGCAAGAUGAACUUGUCCCUGCUCUUACCGCCAGGUUGCACCAUAUAUAAAGGACAGUGCAACACCACCAUGGUAAAUGAAACAGACGUUUGUGUUGGAGUGAACAG
This is a long non-coding RNA of Monopterus albus (swamp eel), 334 nucleotides long. RefSeq lists it as uncharacterized. NCBI's taxonomy places the organism in Eukaryota, Metazoa, Chordata, Actinopteri, Synbranchiformes, Synbranchidae. The transcript has 6 exons. The record is from RefSeq and is a predicted model, not a curated record.